GCCAGAGUGAGGCCGGAACCUGCUGGGUCCCGCAGGCUGUCGGAGCGCUUCUGCGUGCGGGCCAGGGGCUGAGCAGGUAGCGAUAGCAGGCUCCUUGGGGAGCCACCAUCCAAGGGGGCAGGGGACCCCCACCCGGCCACUUAGGGCGUCCGUAGAGGCGCUGGAAUGAAACGCCGCGGGAAAGCUCGACUGCUGGCACUUGCAGGAAGCCGGUGUCCUUGGCUGGGAAGGUGCUUGGGAGAGGGCGAGGUUUGGAGAAGCCUGGAGAGAUGCAAGGAGGGGGCUUCGGGCUUCAUUGGUCUGAGCAGCCGUCAGAGUAGCAUUUUGCUGGAGGGAAAAUUGUUCUACACUCAGCAUUUUUCUCAAGUUUUUCAUCCACCUCCAAGAUCUACAAUUUGCUGCAGUAAGAAGUCAACCAGCCCUCAGUGAUUCAGUGAAACCGUUGCUGGAGUGCAGAACCUGGAAAAUUUAAGUGCUGAGGUCAAAAUUCAGGAUGAGCAGAUGGAAACAGAAGCAUAGUUCAGAGACUGAAUAAAGAAUUCCAAGACAUACAGCCAAGAGGAGACAGUUUGAAAACUGUACCUUUGGUUUAUUGUCCAAGGGUGGCAGAAUUAUUCCUCUUGUAAAGUGUUUCUGCUUUUUUCCUGGAGACCACUAAAAUCAUACAGGAAUGUGUUUUCAUUAAAUUGCUUUUUUUUUCCCCGUUCAUUUUCAUCGAAAUAAAAUCAAUUCACAGUAAGACUAUAUUUAAAGAGAUAUAUAAAUGUUAUGCGAAAUAUCUUUGAAGAUAAUCAGUGUGAUUGUUGUUAUUGAAUGAAAACUCACUAAUUUUUCUGCCCUUGGAUUUAAAGAUGUAACUACAAAAGCAAGACCAAACACCAAUCACUUUCUAAACUUUGAUUUUCUUAUUGUUCAGUAAAAAUGCUGCUUUACGAUGUAGUUAAAAAGGGAGUAAAAUGUGCAUUGUCUUUUUGGAGAGAUGAAUAUUGUGUCUUUAGUUUUAGUCCAGAAUGAAUUCUAACUAUCAAAAUAAGUAACUAUUAAAUCUUCAGUCUUAAGACAAUUCUGCCAGAUUUUCUUCUUCAGUGACCCUGAAGUGAUUAUUUGGGUAGUAUGCAAAUGAAAUCACAUUUUGGCAAUUUACAAAUGUAUCUAAUUCAGAUUUUCCGCAAUACCUGAUGGACAAUAAUUAUUGUAUAUGCAAAAAAAAAAAAUCACUAAAUGUUCACAAAUAAUGCUUGUGAUGUUUCUCAUUUUCCAAGUCUGAUUCAUUUUAAGAAUUCAGAAAGUGAAGGUAACAUUUCAGUCAGUAGUCUUUUUUUUUUAACCUUUUCUUAAAUGUCAAUUUGAAGCUAACUUGAGCUCAUAAUACCUUUAAGACUCAAAUUUAAUUCAUAUGUUAAGUGAGGCUACAAUUUACAAAUAAAUAUACUUCUUCAUGAAAAUAUUUAACCAGAUUUAAAUUCUUUAAUUUAAAAUAUUUCAGUUUCAAGUGGAAAUCCAAUUCCAGUAUGAAGUGAUAAAUCUGAAUGCUUAAACUUCAUCUUUCACAAAUUUAGUUUAUUGCUCUUAACAAAAUUUACAACUUGGUUACAUUGUAUAAGAACUUCAUUAAGCCAUGGAGACUUGUUUCCUGCUUUGUGUUCAUGGUGAAUAAACAAUGUAUAAAUCCAAUUCUGUCUGAGGCAACUUUUUAAUUUUAUGCUCUUAUAUUAGGGCAGAUAUGAAAAAGCACUCCUUCUACUCAGGUCUGUGAUUUAUUUUCUUGUUCUUCCACUCAAGAAAUCAUCAGAGAUUUAUGGUCUUUUUACAUUGAUUACAUUAAAUUGGGGGAAUUCCCUUUUUUUUUUUUUUAAACUCAAGAGUCAGCUUUUUUAAGUAUAUGAAAAUUUUAAGAAUUAUUAAUUUUUAUUUUUAAAAAAGCCUGUGAUGAUGAUCAAAGUUUUUUUUUCAUCUAAAAAAAAUGCUGCAAAUUGGCUGUAACAUACAAUAUGACACCAUAAAGAAAUGUUUCCAUUCUAAGGAGAAAAGAAUUUUCUGGCACUAAACACAUAUUUAGUAAAAUGACCAUAAAAAGUCGUUGCACCUAAUGUGUUUUAAAGUCCAAAGGGAUAUCUACCCUAGUCCUUACCUCUAGUUAUAACCUAGAGACAUCAGCUGAGCCAGCAAGUCAUGUGGUUACCCAAGAGCAGUUUCCCAUCAAAGUGAAGUGGAGGGAGGAAUCUGAGACCUUGGCAGAAAAAGACUCCAUUUCUCCAAAAACCUAAGGAGUGGAGUGUACAGUGAAGUAGUAAGAAAAUUUGGCACCAAGAAGAAGGGAAGAACUACACAUGGAAGCCAAUGAAGAAGAAAUUCAUAUAACUCACUUUUGCCCUCCAGAACUGAUCAGGCCCUAAAAGCACCUGGUUACUCAAUGCUUAUAUUUGCCCAUCUAUCCAUAAAACAAUAAUAUUGGGCUAGAGGGGUGGCUGUAUUUUCAGUGAUUUUUAGCCCUAAAGAUGAAGUCAUUUGCACAAAGUAGAUAUCAAAAUGUUGACUAAAUAAAUGAAACCCAAUAUAGGCAGUAAGCUGAUAUUAAUGAUGAUGAGAAACAUUGUCUGACUCUUCUGUUUGGAGAUAAUCUAUUUUAUCAAAGGCAGGGAUUAAUUCACUUGUGUCUGUGUGUGUCCCCAGCACUUACCUUGAUUAGUAGGCAUUGCUUGAUUGACCAGAGACUUUGCAAAGAUAGAAAAGUAGAGUUUCUACUACUCCAAACUCUACUAGUAGAUUCAAGGAUACAAAAUGGAUUCAAGAAAGAAAUAUCAGGGUAAGACAGAAGCAAACCUAAAACGUUAAUGUGACCUUUAUUAUACAGCACAUCUGGUGUUUGGUGUAUUCCAACAUGUAUACAGAAUAAUCUAUAAAAACCAAACCUGACCAUUUCAAAAUUACACUAAAUGAAGUCUUAACCCACAGUCGCGUCUCUAAAAAAUAAACACACGAUAUGGCCCUGCAGUAACAAUGUUAUGAAAAGAACUUGGUAUAGCACAAAGUAGGUCAUAAGAAUCAGUUUGUUCUAAAGUAAUUUCUUUUGUUAUUGCACUUUUAUCCUAAACACUUAGUUUGUUACAUUUUCCUUUAACACUGUAAUGAACAUCAGUCCUUUAAAAUUAAGACAAAAAUAAACAAAAAGCACUACACGAAGACAUUAUACAACAAACUGUUUUGACCAUUUUUUUCCUCAGCUCUCUUGGUAAGUUGCCCUUCUUAGUACCAGGUGCAUGUCAUACAUACACACACUAACAGAGCCCCUGUGAUUACUGUAAUUGAACUUAAUGUUAACAAAGCACAUAAAUGAAUUUAAAAAUAAAACCUCUUUGAGAGCAGUAGUACUACUUGAAGUCCUGAGGGAAUUUUCAAUUCCUUCAGUUCUCCCCCAACCCAGCUCUAGACCCACUGGGAAUCAGCAAAAAAUAUUCUUAUUUUUAGAAAAGAUAAAAGGUUGUUUUCCCAGCAAAUCUAGAAAUUAAGCCUCCAAAGGGAGGGGGGAGGGGGGCGAGGGGGGAGGGGAAAACCAGUAAAGAUAGAAAAGCAGCUAUUCAGUGACCAGGGGAGGGUUGCUGACCCUACACUAACAAGGCAGGACUUUGGCAUCACCAUAUAUAAAUCAAAUAUUUAACCCAUUCUCUCCAAGAAAUGGCUACAAGGGCAUCAAUAUUCCUGAAAAAGCCAGAAGAAAACACUUCCUCUUCUGCUUCUAAGUGUAAAAAAAAAUAAGCCAAUGAAGAAAGUUUUAUUCUGUGCAGUUAAUAACCUCUGGGUUCCAAAAAAUUGUUUAGAGCAAUCAGAUGCUGAACACCUACCACCCUUCUGCACUUGUUAUCACCCUGUUUUACCUGUAAGGAGAACAGAGCUUUUCUAAAAGCUUAAGUGAGGUCCUUUUGUUCUCUUAAAGUCUUUUCAAAGACAUUAAAAUGUAGCAAAGGACAGAAUAGUAUAGUCAACAGCUGUGACUCAUCUAACUUCUAAGUCUAACAUUCUCGUUUCUAUCCCUCAAACAUUUAAGAUUCUGAAAUUUAAAAUAAUUUGGGAACGGCAUUUAGUCCUAAAAGAUAAUCUUUUAGAAAAUAAUUCCAUCUUUGGAUAGUCUCUGAACAGCUAGCACCUUCCUAAUGAGGCUGGCUUUUAGAAAAGUGGAAGGUUUAUUGAGGAAAGGAGGCUGCUCUGUCCUAUGAGCAAGAGAGCAAGAUCUUUCUAUGUAGCACCUUCUGUAAGCAUUCCUCAACUUUCAGUAGUCUGUAUUUGCUUCUGGGAAUCAGAGCAAGGUUAUCAGUUGAGAUUCCUAACU
RNAcentral lists this long non-coding RNA (4327 nucleotides) under Sarcophilus harrisii (Tasmanian devil). RNAcentral describes it as "lncRNA (ENSSHAG00000026936.1)". The record is from RNAcentral. Lineage: Eukaryota; Metazoa; Chordata; Mammalia; Dasyuromorphia; Dasyuridae.